ACAUAGUAAGUGCUCAAUAAAAAGUGA
Molecule: non-coding RNA, 27 nt
Filed under: Mus musculus (house mouse)
Lineage: Eukaryota; Metazoa; Chordata; Mammalia; Rodentia; Muridae
Source: RNAcentral